Molecule: ribosomal RNA, 282 nt
Filed under: Triticum aestivum (bread wheat)
Lineage: Eukaryota; Viridiplantae; Streptophyta; Magnoliopsida; Poales; Poaceae
Description: partial small subunit ribosomal RNA
Source: RNAcentral
UAUGCUUUUCUUCCCCAUGGAGAGAAACACUUUACUGUGGGGCUUGUGGCCAUCUACUGGGCCAUUUGGAACCGCAGGAAUCAAGCUACAUUUGAAUUCAAGAAACUGUCAUCUCCUUUUGAGAUUGUUUUCAAUGCUUGUGCACAUCUUUCCUACUGGGCAGGUUUGUUGAAAGGCGAAGAACGAACGGAGCUGGAGCAGGGCGCGGCACUUCUGAAGAUGAACGCUAAGAAGAUGAUGAGCCUUUGUGCGUCUGCAUAUACGGGGACCACCCAGGGGUGA